RNAcentral lists this ribosomal RNA (550 nucleotides) under uncultured bacterium. RNAcentral's name for it is "bacterial SSU rRNA". It matches the Rfam family "Bacterial small subunit ribosomal RNA", at positions 355 to 896 of the family's 1533-position model. The record is from RNAcentral.
UGGGGAAUAUUGGACAAUGGGGGGAACCCUGAUCCAGCCAUGCCGCGUGUGUGAAGAAGGCCUUAUGGUUGUAAAGCACUUUAAGCGAGGAGGAGGCUACUCUAGUUAAUACCUAGGGAUAGUGGACGUUACUCGCAGAAUAAGCACCGGCUAACUCUGUGCCAGCAGCCGCGGUAAUACAGAGGGUGCGAGCGUUAAUCGGAUUUACUGGGCGUAAAGCGUGCGUAGGCGGCUUAUUAAGUCGGAUGUGAAAUCCCCGAGCUUAACUUGGGAAUUGCAUUCGAUACUGGUGAGCUAGAGUAUGGGAGAGGAUGGUAGAAUUCCAGGUGUAGCGGUGAAAUGCGUAGAGAUCUGGAGGAAUACCGAUGGCGAAGGCAGCCAUCUGGCCUAAUACUGACGCUGAGGUACGAAAGCAUGGGGAGCAAACAGGAUUAGAUACCCUGGUAGUCCAUGCCGUAAACGAUGUCUACUAGCCGUUGGGGCCUUUGAGGCUUUAGUGGCGCAGCUAACGCGAUAAGUAGACCGCCUGGGGAGUACGGUCGCAAGACUA